This 419-nucleotide ribosomal RNA is filed under the name uncultured eukaryote. RNAcentral's name for it is "SSU rRNA". It matches the Rfam family "Eukaryotic small subunit ribosomal RNA", at positions 592 to 1016 of the family's 1831-position model. The record is from RNAcentral.
CAAUAGCGUAUAUUAAAGUUGUUGCGGUUAAAAAGCUCGUAGUUGGAUUUCUGCUGAGGACGACCGGUCCGCCCUCCGGGUGAGCAUCUGGUUCGGCCUUGGCAUCUUCUUGGUGAACGUAUCUGCACUUGACUGUGUGGUGCGGUACCCAGGACUUUUACUUUGAGGAAAUUAGAGUGUUUCAAGCAGGCAUACGCCUUGAAUACAUUAGCAUGGAAUAAUAAGAUAGGACCUCGGUUCUAUUUUGUUGGUUCUAGAGCUGAGGUAAUGAUUAAUAGGGACAAUUGGGGGCAUUCGUAUUGACGAGUCAGAGGUGAAAUUCUUGGAUUUCGUCACGACGAACUACUGCGAAAGCAUUUGCCAAGGAUGUUUUCAUUGAUCAAGAACGAAAGUUAGGGGAUCGAAGAUGAUCAGAUACC